RNAcentral lists this non-coding RNA (203 nucleotides) under Acidobacteriota bacterium. Lineage: Bacteria; Pseudomonadati; Acidobacteriota. The record is from RNAcentral.
GAUGACCGCUCCUCUUUGGGUGCCCGUCAGGGCAUAACAGGGAAGACCGGUGUGAGUCCGGCGCGGUCCCGCCACUGUGAGCGAGGGCAUGCGGCUUCGAUGUCACCACUCGACCGUGCGGUCGGGGAAGGUGGAGCCGCUGGUGCACACGACGUGUGCACCUCCUUCCAAGCCAGGAGACCUACCCAGAGUUUUUCGCGGUC